GACGAACGCUGGCGGCGUGCUUAACACCUGCAAGUCGAACGGAAAGGCCCUGCUUUUGUGGGGUGCUCGAGUGGCGAACGGGUGAGUAACACGUGAGUAACCUGCCCUUGACUUUGGGAUAACUUCAGGAAACUGGGGCUAAUACCGGAUAGGAGCUCCUGCUGCAUGGUGGGGGUUGGAAAGUUUCGGCGGUUGGGGAUGGACUCGCGGCUUAUCAGCUUGUUGGUGGGGUAGUGGCUUACCAAGGCUUUGACGGGUAGCCGGCCUGAGAGGGUGACCGGCCACAUUGGGACUGAGAUACGGCCCAGACUCCUACGGGAGGCAGCAGUGGGGAAUAUUGCACAAUGGGCGGAAGCCUGAUGCAGCAACGCCGCGUGCGGGAUGACGGCCUUCGGGUUGUAAACCGCUUUCGCCUGUGACGAGGCGUGAGUGACGGUAAUGGGUAAAGAAGCACCGGCUAACUACGUGCCAGCAGCCGCGGUGAUACGUAGGGUGCGAGCGUUGUCCGGAUUUAUUGGGCGUAAAGGGCUCGUAGGUGGUUGAUCGCGUCGGAAGUGUAAUCUUGGGGCUUAACCCUGGGCGUGCUUUCGAUACGGGUUGACUUGAGGAAGGUAGGGGAGAAUGGAAUUCCUGGUGGGGCGGUGGAAUGCGCAGAUAUCAGGAGGAACACCAGUGGCGAAGGCGGUUCUCUGGGCCUUUUCUGACGCUGAGGAGCGAAAGCGUGGGGAGCGAACAGGCUUAGAUACCCUGGUAGUCCACGCUGUAAACGGUGGGUACUAGGUGUGGGGUCCAUUCCACGGGUUCCGUGCCGUAGCUAACGCUUUAAGUACCCCGCCUGGGGAGUACGGCCGCAAGGCUAAAACUCAAAGGAAUUGAUGGGGCCCCGCACAAGCGGCGGAGCAUGCGGAUUAAUUCGAUGCAACGCGUAGAACCUUACCUGGGUUUGACAUGGAUCGGGAGUGCUCAGAGAUGGGUGUGCCUCUUUUGGGGUCGGUUCACAGGUGGUGCAUGGCUGUCGUCAGCUCGUGUCGUGAGAUGUUGGGUUAAGUCCCGCAACGAGCGCAACCCUUGUUCACUGUUGCCAGCACGUUAUGGUGGGGACUCAGUGGAGACCGCCGGGGUCAACUCGGAGGAAGGUGGGGAUGACGUCAAGUCAUCAUGCCCCUUAUGUCCAGGGCUUCACGCAUGCUACAAUGGCUGGUACAGAGAGUGGCGAGCCUGUGAGGGUGAGCGAAUCUCGGAAAGCCGGUCUCAGUUCGGAUUGGGGUCUGCAACUCGACCUCAUGAAGUCGGAGUCGCUAGUAAUCGCAGAUCAGCAACGCUGCGGUAAAUACGUUCCCGGG
RNAcentral lists this ribosomal RNA (1343 nucleotides) under uncultured bacterium. RNAcentral describes it as "16S ribosomal RNA". It matches the Rfam family "Bacterial small subunit ribosomal RNA", at positions 28 to 1378 of the family's 1533-position model. The record is from RNAcentral.